RNAcentral lists this small RNA (744 nucleotides) under Hydnophora exesa. Its description in RNAcentral is "eukaryotic LSU rRNA". The stretch from base 345 to 498 matches the Rfam family "5.8S ribosomal RNA". Lineage: Eukaryota; Metazoa; Cnidaria; Anthozoa; Scleractinia; Merulinidae. The record is from RNAcentral.
AGUGAGGCUUCCUGACUGGCGCCGAUACUCUGGCAACAGAGCGUGGGAUGCCGGAAAGUUGGUCAAACUUGAUCAUUUAGAGGAAGUAAAAGUCGUAACAAGGUUUCCGUAGGUGAACCUGCGGAAGGAUCAUUACCGAUGUCGAAAAACACAAUCAACACUGUGUGAACCGUACCCAACCUUUCUGAGGGGUCGGCCCGGGGGGCCGUUAAAUGGCGAUCGGAGGCGAGGUGUCUCGCGGCCGCUUCGCCUGCCCCGGCCUUGUGUUUUUUUUCGUACGCUUCUUGUGGUGUCUGUCUGAUUGAUUUGACGAAAAGAAACAAAUCAAAGUAGAAAUGAGAGACAACUUUUGACGGUGGAUCUCUUGGCUCACGCAUCGAUGAAGAACGCAGCCAGCUGCGAUAAGUAGUGUGAAUUGCAGAAUUCAGUGAAUCAUCGAAUCUUUGAACGCAAAUGGCGCUCUUGGGUUCUCCCAGGAGCAUGUCUGUCUGAGUGUCGGAUUGUCAUCCAUCGCGGGCGUGCGUGCGUGCGUGCGCGCCGGCGGCGUUGGGGCGUCACGGCCUUUGUGGCAAGAAGGCCGUGUCCCUCGAAGGGCAGAGAGACUCGCUGUGGUUGGGGGCUUGUUUGUUCCCGCAGCGCAGCAGCGGAGGCUAAAAGUGUCAGCACUCCUUCGCGCCGCGCCGCCACCAGAGUCGUCAAGAAAGCGAAAGCCAAUCCUAUCAUCCUCUUGACCUCAGAUCAGGC